GGCGUAGCUCAAUGGUAGAACAUUUGCCUCACAUGCAGAAGGUCCCAGGUCCAGCAUCUCCAGGCAGGGCUG
Molecule: non-coding RNA, 72 nt
Organism: Podarcis lilfordi (Lilford's wall lizard)
Lineage: Eukaryota; Metazoa; Chordata; Lepidosauria; Squamata; Lacertidae
Source: the annotation of a GenBank genome assembly